AACAGACCACACGCUACACAGCCUCACACACCACACACGUAUACGGCACACAUCACAGAGAUGGAGGCACAAAACCAGUAGAGAUAGAGGCACAAAAACAGUAGACCACACACUCAACGCACCCAGCCGCACCCAGCAGCCUCACUCCCCUCCCUCACGCCUCACGGCCUCCCCCUCAAGCCUCAACGAGAGACCACACAGCACACACCAACCUUUGCUCCCCUCCCUCACGCCUCAUGGGUCACUGCCCCACCCUCAAGUCAACACUCAACAUCGCCAAUGCCAAGUAGAAACACACACACACACACACAGCCGCAGCCAACACAUGCUUGCCACAAUCACC
RNAcentral lists this long non-coding RNA (343 nucleotides) under Citrus maxima (pomelo). RNAcentral's name for it is "long non-coding RNA (CMAX_LNC003258)". Lineage: Eukaryota; Viridiplantae; Streptophyta; Magnoliopsida; Sapindales; Rutaceae. The record is from RNAcentral.